CAGCCGCCGCGGUAAUACGAAGGGUGCAAGCGUUAAUCGGAAUUACUGGGCGUAAAGCGUGCGUAGGCGGUUUGUUAAGUCUGUUGUGAAAUCCCCGGGCUCAACCUGGGAAUGGCAAUGGAUACUGGCAAGCUAGAGUGUGUCAGAGGAUGGUGGAAUUCCCGGUGUAGCGGUGAAAUGCGUAGAGAUCGGGAGGAACAUCAGUGGCGAAGGCGGCCAUCUGCGACAACACUGACGCUGAGGCACGAAAGCGUGGGGAGCAAACAGGAUUAGAUACCCCUGUAGUCCCUGUCUCUUAUAA
RNAcentral lists this ribosomal RNA (301 nucleotides) under uncultured bacterium. Its description in RNAcentral is "partial 16S ribosomal RNA". It matches the Rfam family "Bacterial small subunit ribosomal RNA", at positions 509 to 809 of the family's 1533-position model. The record is from RNAcentral.